RNAcentral lists this small nucleolar RNA (67 nucleotides) under Xenopus tropicalis (tropical clawed frog). Its description in RNAcentral is "Small nucleolar RNA SNORD50 (ENSXETG00000044569.1)". It matches the Rfam family "Small nucleolar RNA SNORD50". Rfam says of the family: U50 belongs to the C/D class of snoRNA which contain the C (UGAUGA) and D (CUGA) box motifs. Most of the members of the box C/D family function in directing site-specific 2'-O-methylation of substrate RNAs. The record is from Rfam by way of RNAcentral. Lineage: Eukaryota; Metazoa; Chordata; Amphibia; Anura; Pipidae.
AAGCAGUGAUGAGUCUAUCCCGAACCUGAGUCUUUGAUGACACACAUAUGGAUCUGACUGCUGAGCU